AUUGAACGCUGGCGGCAGGCUUAACACAUGCAAGUCGAGCGGGGUGAUGGUGCUUGCACUAUCACUUAGCGGCGGACGGGUGAGUAAUGCUUAGGAAUCUGCCUAUUAGUGGGGGACAACAUCUCGAACGGGAUGCUAAUACCGCAUACGUCCUACGGGAGAAAGCAGGGGAUCACUUGUGACCUUGCGCUAAUAGAUGAGCCUAAGUCGGAUUAGCUAGUUGGUCGGGUAAAGGCCUACCAAGGCGACGAUCUGUAGCGGGUCUGAGAGGAUGAUGCGCCACAAUGGGACUGGGGCACGGGCCAGACUCCUACGGGAGGCAGCAGGGGGGAAUAUUGGACAAUGGGGGGAACGCUGAUCCAGCCAUGCCGCGUGUGUGAAGAAGGCCUUAUGGUUGUAAAGCACUUUAAGCGAGGAGGAGGCUCUUUUGGUUAAUACCCAAGAUGAGUGGACGUUACUCGCAGAAUAAGCACCGGCUAACUCUGUGCCAGCAGCCGCAGUAA
This 503-nucleotide ribosomal RNA is filed under the name uncultured bacterium. RNAcentral describes it as "partial 16S ribosomal RNA". It matches the Rfam family "Bacterial small subunit ribosomal RNA", at positions 30 to 523 of the family's 1533-position model. The record is from RNAcentral.